UUAAGCAUAUCAGUAAGCAGAGGAAAAGAAAACAACUGUGAUUCCCUUAGUACCUGCGAGUCAAGCGGGAUAAGCCCAUCGUUUAAUCUUCCCGGACUAUGGACGGGACGAAAUGUAACGGUAUGGAUAGGUUCUCUACCAACACUGGUGGCUGGUCAAAGUCCUCCGGAUUGAGGUGCCAAAGAGGGUGACAGCCCCGUGUGUGACUGGACAGUGUUGGGUAUGUGACCGAUUCCGAGAGUCGGGUUGUUUGGGACUGCAACCUAAAGUAGGUGGUAAACUCCACCCAAGGCUAAAUAUUGACACGAAACCGAUAGCGAACAAGUACUGUGAAGGAAAGUUGAAAAGAACUCUGAAAAGAGAGUUAAAAGUACGUGAAACCGCUAACGGGGAAGCGGAAGGCAGUGUCGAGAUUGAGUGAGUGAGUUGUGUCAAAUCUUUUGAAUGAGUGUGAGGAGGGUUUGGCGCGGCUAGCUUUGCUUGAUGCGUCAGGACUAUUGGUGUGCGAUGGCUCAAUUGUCGGUUCGGCUUCGGCGACACCCAGACUCA
RNAcentral lists this ribosomal RNA (549 nucleotides) under Kudoa parathyrsites. RNAcentral describes it as "eukaryotic LSU rRNA". It matches the Rfam family "Eukaryotic large subunit ribosomal RNA", at positions 34 to 574 of the family's 3401-position model. The record is from RNAcentral. Lineage: Eukaryota; Metazoa; Cnidaria; Myxozoa; Multivalvulida; Kudoidae.